Molecule: ribosomal RNA, 492 nt
Filed under: uncultured bacterium
Lineage: Bacteria
Description: partial 16S ribosomal RNA
Rfam family: Bacterial small subunit ribosomal RNA
Source: RNAcentral
AGUGAACGCUGGCGGUAGGCCUAACACAUGCAAGUCGAACGGCAGCACAGUAAGAGCUUGCUCUUCCGGUGGGGGGGUGGCGACCGGGUGGGGAAUCCAUCGGAUUUUCCUUUUUGGUGGGGGUUACGGUGGGGAAACUACCCCUAUUACCGCUUCGAACUUCCGGUGAAAGCCAGGGGAUUUUCGAACCUUGCCCGAUUGAUUAGGCGGUUGUCGGAUUAGCUAGUUGGCGGGGUAAAGGCCCACCAAGGCGACGAUCCGUAGCUGGUCUGAGAGGAUGAUCAGCCACACUGGAACUGAGACACGGUCCAGACUCCUACGGGAGGCAGCAGUGGGGAAUAUUGGACAAUGGGCGCAAGCCUGAUCCAGCCAUACCGCGUGGGUGAAGAAGGCCUUCGGGUUGUAAAGCCCUUUUGUUGGGAAAGAAAAGCAGCAGGUUAAUACCCCGCUGUUCUGACGGUACCCAAAGAAUAAGCACCGGCUAACUUCGUG